RNAcentral lists this long non-coding RNA (857 nucleotides) under Monodelphis domestica (gray short-tailed opossum). RNAcentral's name for it is "lncRNA (ENSMODG00000035264.2)". Lineage: Eukaryota; Metazoa; Chordata; Mammalia; Didelphimorphia; Didelphidae. The record is from RNAcentral.
GAUUCUAUACAAUAGGCCUUUAUGACAUUUGUCUCUUUCUGGUACAGAAUGUGACACAUGUAGGAAUAUAGUUAGGGAUAAGUCUGGUUUCUAGGGUUAGUUGCAAGAAGGGAGUUUUGAGAUAAGCCCUGGGAAAUGAUUCAGGGUAAGAAAGGAAUUGUGGGAGUCUAAAACUGAAAAUAACUGAACUAAACUUCCAUCUUGGAUUUCAUCUCUCUGCCUACAUUUCCAUCAAGCUGAAGAUGGGGGUUUGCUCUAAAACAUUCUUCCUGGAUAGCCAAGAUUUUGUGGAGAAAUCUUUGACAUCUAGGUAGAGGAUUAUUUGGAGGAAACCAAUUUUCCCUGAGUCUAAAUAUCAUCUUCUAGUGGUUCAGCUGCCAGAAUUCCUCUUGGCUAAGCUCUUAUAAUACAGAUUGUAAUCCAUCCAAGUCUUCUCAUCCUAUGCAACUAUUAUCCGGGAACUCUCCUAACUUCACCAUAAGAAGACUACUCAUUCUCUUGACAUUCUGAAGAUACAGUUCCUCAGUAAUUUCAGCUGGUUAGUCUGGUCACCUUCCCGUUUUCUCUGAUCCUUCUGAAGACAAAACUGUUUAAAUAGUUGUACCUUCACUUACCUGAGAUGACUGCAUUUCCCAGGUGAAUAAAGAGAGUUUGGACAAAAUGCAUUCUCACAUCCACAUCUGCUGUAUCCAGCAUCUACACAGAUAUUAUGAAACAACUUAAUCAAGCCGCUGGGACUUUGCUAGCCAUGGAUGAGAAAAGCACAGCAAAUACACUGACGCCCUUCGACUGUGAAUCCAAAGCUGGGAGAGACAAGGAAGGCCUGGCAGAUGAGGUGAAGGAGAGUUGGCGACAAG